UACGUAGGUCCCGAGCGUUGUCCGGAUUUAUUGGGCGUAAAGCGAGCGCAGGUGGUUUAAUAAGUCUGAUGUAAAAGGCAGUGGCUCAACCAUUGUGUGCAUUGGAAACUGUUAGACUUGAGUGCAGUAGAGGAGAGUGGAAUUCCAUGUGUAGCGGUGAAAUGCGUAGAUAUAUGGAGGAACACCGGUGGCGAAAGCGGCUCUCUGGACUGUAACUGACGCUGAGGUGCGAGAGCGUGGGGAGCAAACAGG
This 252-nucleotide ribosomal RNA is filed under the name uncultured microorganism. Its description in RNAcentral is "partial 16S ribosomal RNA". It matches the Rfam family "Bacterial small subunit ribosomal RNA", at positions 524 to 776 of the family's 1533-position model. The record is from RNAcentral.